Molecule: unclassified non-coding RNA, 352 nt
Filed under: soil metagenome
Description: partial contains 5.8S ribosomal RNA, internal transcribed spacer 2, and large subunit ribosomal RNA
Rfam family: 5.8S ribosomal RNA (bases 1-120)
Source: RNAcentral
GAUGAAGAACGUAGCGAAAUGCGAUAAGUAAUGUGAAUUGCAGAAUUCAGUGAAUCACCGAAUCUUUGAACGCACAUUGCGCCCGCCAGUAUUCUGGCGGGCAUGCCUGUUCGAGCGUCAUUACAACCCUCAGGCCCCCGGGCCUGGCGUUGGGGAUCGGCGGAAGCCCCCUGUGGGCACACGCCGUCCCUCAAAUACAGUGGCGGUCCCGCCGCAGCUUCCAUUGCGUAGUAGCUAACACCUCGCAACUGGAGAGCGGCGCGUCCAUGCCGUAAAACACCCAACUUCUGAAUGUUGACCUCGAAUCAGGUAGGAAUACCCGCUGAACUUAAGCAUAUCAAUAAGCGGAGGA